This 84-nucleotide transfer RNA is filed under the name Thermodesulfobacterium commune DSM 2178. It matches the Rfam family "tRNA". Rfam says of the family: Transfer RNA (tRNA) molecules are approximately 80 nucleotides in length. Their secondary structure includes four short double-helical elements and three loops (D, anti-codon, and T loops). Lineage: Bacteria; Pseudomonadati; Thermodesulfobacteriota; Thermodesulfobacteria; Thermodesulfobacteriales; Thermodesulfobacteriaceae. The record is from Rfam by way of RNAcentral.
GCCGGGGUGGCGGAAUAGGUAGACGCGCUGGAUUCAGGAUCCAGUGGAGAUACCUCCGUGCGGGUUCAAGUCCCGCCCCCGGCA